AUUGAACGCUGGCGGCAGGCCUAACACAUGCAAGUCGAACGGUAACAGGAAGAAGCUUGCUUCUUUGCUGACGAGUGGCGGACGGGUGAGUAAUGUCUGGGAAACUACCUGAUGGAGGGGGAUAACUACUGGAAACGGUAGCUAAUACCGCAUAACGUCGCAAAACCAAAGAGGGGGACCUUCGGGCCUCUUGCCAUCGGAUGUGCCCAGAUGGGAUUAGCUAGUAGGUGGGGUAACGGCUCACCUAGGCGACGAUCCCUAGCUGGUCUGAGAGGAUGACCAGCCACACUGGAACUGAGACACGGUCCAGACUCCUACGGGAGGCAGCAGUGGGGAAUAUUGCACAAUGGGCGCAAGCCUGAUGCAGCCAUGCCGCGUGUAUGAAGAAGGCCUUCGGGUUGUAAAGUACUUUCAGCGGGGAGGAAGGGAGUAAAGUUAAUACCUUUGCUCAUUGACGUUACCCGCAGAAGAAGCACCGGCUAACUCCGUG
This 490-nucleotide ribosomal RNA is filed under the name uncultured bacterium. RNAcentral's name for it is "partial 16S ribosomal RNA". It matches the Rfam family "Bacterial small subunit ribosomal RNA", at positions 30 to 507 of the family's 1533-position model. The record is from RNAcentral.